GAGGCCACCCUGACGGCAGCCGCCCCAAACGCUGUCUUUCUGGCCUCAGGGUGACCUUGAGCGGUCCUGUUGCGGUACGCAGGCCGGGAGAGGCCCGAGGACGUGUGGCAGGGUACCAGGGUCCCCUCGCCCAGGCCUGGUGACGACUCCCACGUCCAGGUGGCGUGGCCACCACCUCCCAGAGCGGACCCUGGGAAGAGACCCGGCUAAGGCGUAAACGGGCACGGUGUCAACGUAUUCCCUGUAGCUGGGCGCUCCCCUCCUACCCACGGUUGGAUGACCACGGGGCCCGCGAAACCCCCGCUCUGCGGGUGGACCCCAAGUGAGCAGCACAGGUCGACAUCCGCUGACGGCGCACACGGUGCCUGCGUCACACCACCACGAGCCUUAUCAAUAUUCCCAUUUCACGGAGGCAGAAACCGAGACCUAAAAAGGUUAGUUUCUCGUCCAAAGCUGCAUAACAACAGGUAAAUCUGGAAACUAAGCUAAAAUAUAUUAUUUUUGAGCUGAUCGAACUCGAGACCUUUCCCUUGGGAGGCAGGCGGUGGAACC
Molecule: long non-coding RNA, 552 nt
Filed under: Heterocephalus glaber (naked mole-rat)
Lineage: Eukaryota; Metazoa; Chordata; Mammalia; Rodentia; Bathyergidae
Description: lncRNA (ENSHGLG00000033053.1)
Source: RNAcentral